This is a long non-coding RNA of Leopardus geoffroyi (Geoffroy's cat), 320 nucleotides long. RefSeq lists it as uncharacterized. The record is from RefSeq and is a predicted model, not a curated record. The transcript is spliced from 2 exons. NCBI's taxonomy places the organism in Eukaryota, Metazoa, Chordata, Mammalia, Carnivora, Felidae.
GAGAACAACUUCUUUCGGUUUAGAACUUCCUCAUUUACACAACCCGCCUCACAAAAAGAAAGGGGACCACAUGAGUCAGAAAGCAGCUUGCCUUCAGAGGAGGGGCUCCCGUGGUCUCUCCUGGUGCCACAGGAGGGGAGCAGAAGGAGCGUUCUCAACCCACCCAGCCUGGUGCAUCCAGCUGGAAGAAGGGAGCCUUCAGCCACAGAAAUGAAGAAAACUGCCUGGACAGUGUGCUUAUUAGGGUGUGUUCACCCCUGCUGGUGUUCCUGGCCUUGUGGUGUCUCUGCACGGGAGAGGAGAGUCUCAGGUCUGGAAGG